GAUGAACGCUGGCGGCGUGCCUAAUACAUGCAAGUCGAGCGAACGGACGAGAAGCUUGCUUCUCUGAUGUUAGCGGCGGACGGGUGAGUAACACGUGAAUAACCUACCUAUAAGACUGGGAUAACUUCGGGAAACCGGAGCUAAUACCGGAUGAUAUUUUGAACCGCAUGGUUCAAAAGUGAAAGACGGUCUUGCUGUCACUUAUAGAUGGAUCCGCGCUACAUUAGCUAGUUGGUAAGGUAACGGCUUACCAAGGCAACGAUGCAUAGCCGACCUGAGAGGGUGAUCGGCCACACUGGAACUGAGACACGGUCCAGACUCCUACGGGAGGCAGCAGUAGGGAAUCUUCCGCAAUGGGCGAAAGCCUGACGGAGCAACGCCGCGUGAGUGAUGAAGGUCUUCGGAUCGUAAAACUCUGUUAUUAGGGAAGAACAUAUGUGUAAGUAACUGUGCACAUCUUGACGGUACCUAAUCAGAAAGCCACGGCUAACUACGUG
This 497-nucleotide ribosomal RNA is filed under the name uncultured bacterium. RNAcentral's name for it is "partial 16S ribosomal RNA". It matches the Rfam family "Bacterial small subunit ribosomal RNA", at positions 28 to 507 of the family's 1533-position model. The record is from RNAcentral.